Long non-coding RNA from Scatophagus argus, 1167 nucleotides. RefSeq lists it as uncharacterized. The record is from RefSeq and is a predicted model, not a curated record. The transcript is spliced from 2 exons. Lineage: Eukaryota; Metazoa; Chordata; Actinopteri; Scatophagidae.
CAAAUCCUGUAAUCCUUGUGUAUGUGUGUAGUCUGAAGUGUCUCUUGGCUGUCAGGUUAACCUUGCUGAAAAAGAAAUCAAAGAAUAUGAAAUGAGGAAAGUUUAAAAGGUGCUAAACAAAAGAACAAAUUAAUGCAGUGUGUGUGUGUGUGUGUGUGUGUUGUAGGUGUUGCAGGCACUUGUAGGUAUCAACAUUCCCAUCCCAUCCCCGACGGCAAGUGUGUGUGCUGCACUCGGGCUGCAUGCUCAAGCGUCUCUCUCUGGCUGAGCGGGGCAGGCCUCAGGCUGCAAGGCAAACAACUGUUACCUACAAAUCAUCCGUCACUAUUGGAAACCGGUUUUUCACCCCCUCCUCCCUUUCUCCCUCCCUCCCUCCCUUGCUCCUUCUCUUCUCCCCCACACUACCAUCCAUCCUCACCCCUCUCCUGCUGCAGCGCCGACUUUAGAGCACGUGUCGGAGCUGCAGUUUUUUUUUGACAUGUUUCACGCUGCUGGGAAAGACAUAGUGCUGAAGUGAACGUGGAGAAGAGAAGAACACACACACAUGUGUUUUUGAAGCUGGUUGGGAAACAGCGAGACAGCAACAUGUGCUUGUCAUCCCCCCACACUGCCGACAGGUGUUGGCUUCAUGUGACUGCCUGCCUGCCUGUCCAGACAACGCUCCAAUGAAGGAGGAGGAGGAGGAGGAGGAGGAGGACGGCGAGGAAGAAGAGAAGGAGUGUGUAAAGUUUCAUCAACAACAACUGUGUCAACUCGUAGUUGCUCGGUGCUGGGAAAAUCUCCAGCUCAGAUCUCCUUUCUGAGGCUUGUGGAGGCUCUGGUCUGCAGAGUUUGGGGAUGCCUCUCCUCCUCCUCCUCCUCCUCCUCCUGCUCUCCACUGGAUGAAUGGAUGAAUCCACCCUUUUGUUGGCGACGGUUCGUUCCUCAGCAACAGCUCCAUGGUUACAGUCCAAUAAAUAACAUCACACUCUCUCUUCUGCGUCUCUGGUUCUUAGGCCAGGAUGCAAAAAGAGAAGUAAAGUUUUUUUUUUUUCCUGUAAUUUAUUUUCCCUUUGUGCAUCAGUUGAUUUAAAACUGAGUGAAAUAACAUAAGCUCCAUUCGUAACUCAUUUGUUUAAAGCUGAGGUGAUAUUUUAAAAUCUGCAAAGAUGAAAAUGAGCACAUGCC